GGGCCUGUAGCUCAGUUGGUAGAGCGCCAGCUUUGCAAGCUGGAUGUCAUCGGUUCGAACCCGUUCAGGUCCACCA
This 76-nucleotide transfer RNA is filed under the name Oligoflexia bacterium. RNAcentral's name for it is "tRNA-Ala". It matches the Rfam family "tRNA". Rfam says of the family: Transfer RNA (tRNA) molecules are approximately 80 nucleotides in length. Their secondary structure includes four short double-helical elements and three loops (D, anti-codon, and T loops). The record is from RNAcentral. Lineage: Bacteria; Pseudomonadati; Bdellovibrionota; Oligoflexia. RNAcentral also lists the same sequence under 1 other name.